Molecule: long non-coding RNA, 314 nt
Organism: Momordica charantia (bitter melon)
Lineage: Eukaryota; Viridiplantae; Streptophyta; Magnoliopsida; Cucurbitales; Cucurbitaceae
Source: RefSeq, a predicted model, not a curated record
AGAGUUAGAAAGUGAGUGAUCUUAAGUUUGUAAAAGGGAACGGUGCUCAAGUUUGAAUAAACUACUCAUUUCCCCAACUUUUGUCUUCUUCUUACAAGAUUGAUGCAACGAUAUAUGGUGGAAACAUAUUUUGUAACCUUGGCUCAAUUGGAGGGAGAAUGUUAUUUGUAAAUUUUGGUAGACAUUUCGUUGUUUUAAUUUUCAGAAAUUUCAUUCUAUAUGUACGUACUCUAAUUGAAUUGUUUUUAUUUGCAGAAACUUGUAUAUGUUUUCAAUGACAUAUAUUGUUUAAUGAAAUUCAUAUUAUUAUCUAA